RNAcentral lists this ribosomal RNA (465 nucleotides) under uncultured Pseudomonadaceae bacterium. RNAcentral's name for it is "bacterial SSU rRNA". It matches the Rfam family "Bacterial small subunit ribosomal RNA", at positions 338 to 795 of the family's 1533-position model. Lineage: Bacteria; Pseudomonadati; Pseudomonadota; Gammaproteobacteria; Pseudomonadales; Pseudomonadaceae. The record is from RNAcentral.
CCUACGGGGGGCUGCAGUGGGGAAUAUUGGACAAUGGGGGAAACCCUGAUCCAGCCAUGCCGCGUGUGUGAAGAAGGUCUUCGGAUUGUAAAGCACUUUAAGUUGGGAGGAAGGGCAGUUAACUAAUAUUUGACUGUUUUGACGUUACCGACAGAAUAAGCACCGGCUAACUUCGUGCCAGCAGCCGCGGUAAUACGAAGGGUGCAAGCGUUAAUCGGAAUUACUGGGCGUAAAGCGCGCGUAGGUGGUUCGUUAAGUUAGGAGUGAAAGCCCCGGGCUCAACCUGGGAAUUGCUUCUAAAACUGGCGGGCUAGAGUACAGUAGAGGAUGGUGGAAUUUCCUGUGUAGCGGUGAAAUGCGUAGAUAUAGGAAGGAACAUCAGUGGCGAAGGCGACCAUCUGGACUGAUACUGACACUGAGGUGCGAAAGCGUGGGGAGCAAACAGGAUUAGAUACCCCAGUAGUC